GAUGUUUGAUCAUGGCUCAGGAUGAACGCUAGCGGCAGGCCUAAUACAUGCAAGUCGAACGAUACCAGAGAGCUUGCUUUCUGGGAAAGUGGCGCACGGGUGCGUAACGCGUAUGCAACCUACCUUAAUCAGGGGGAUAGCCUCUCGAAAGAGAGAUUAACACCGCAUAACAUCAUUUUACGGCAUCGUAGAAUGAUCAAAUAUUUAUAGGAUUAAGAUGGGCAUGCGUGACAUUAGCUAGUUGGUGAGGUAACGGCUCACCAAGGCUACGAUGUCUAGGGGAUCCGAGAGGAUGACCCCCCACACUGGUACUGAGACACGGACCAGACUCCUACGGGAGGCAGCAGUAAGGAAUAUUGGUCAAUGGAGGCAACUCUGAACCAGCCAUGCCGCGUGCAGGAAGACGGCCCUAUGGGUUGUAAACUGCUUUUAUACGGGAAUAAACCUCUCUACGUGUAGGGAGUUGAAUGUACUGUAAGAAUAAGGAUCGGCUAACUCCGUGCCAGCAGCCGCGGUAAUACGGAGGAUCCAAGCGUUAUCCGGAUUUAUUGGGUUUAAAGGGUGCGUAGGCGGCCUAUUAAGUCAGGGGUGAAAGACGGUGGCUCAACCAUCGCAGUGCCCUUGAUACUGAUGGGCUUGACUACACUUGAGGUAGGCGGAAUGUGACAAGUAGCGGUGAAAUGCAUAGAUAUGUCACAGAACACCAAUUGCGAAGGCAGCUUACUAAGGUGUCAAUGACGCUGAGGCACGAAAGCGUGGGGAUCAAACAGGAUUAGAUACCCUGGUAGUCCACGCCCUAAACAAUGAAUACUCGAUGUUAGCGAUAUACAGUUAGCGUCAAAGCGAAAGCGUAAGUAUCCAC
Molecule: ribosomal RNA, 862 nt
Filed under: uncultured bacterium
Lineage: Bacteria
Description: bacterial SSU rRNA
Rfam family: Bacterial small subunit ribosomal RNA
Source: RNAcentral